AGAGCGAACGCUGGCGGCAGGCCUAACACAUGCAAGUCGAACGAACUCUUCGGAGUUAGUGGCGGACGGGUGAGUAACACGUGGGAACGUGCCUUUAGGUUCGGAAUAACUCAGGGAAACUUGUGCUAAUACCGAAUGUGCCCUUCGGGGGAAAGAUUUAUCGCCUUUAGAGCGGCCCGCGUCUGAUUAGCUUGUUGGUGGGGUAAUGGCCCACCAAGGCUACGAUCAGUAGCUGGUCUGAGAGGAUGACAGCCACA
Molecule: ribosomal RNA, 257 nt
Filed under: uncultured soil bacterium
Lineage: Bacteria
Description: partial 16S ribosomal RNA
Rfam family: Bacterial small subunit ribosomal RNA
Source: RNAcentral